CCAGUGUUUAAGUUCACUUUGGAAUUCAACAGUGAGGUGCACUUCCUCCUUUAGACAGCAGGAGGCAGCAUUGCCUAGUUUACAGUAAUGUCCAUGAUAGCAGGGCACAACAAGGAGUUCCUUUCAAGUAGACUUUAAGCUAGUUCAGUGACGAUCGCAAACGUUUUCAUCUGCUCGAAUCUCAUGCCAAACAAAGUAUCAUUGUUUUACCCUUUUUAGGGUCAAUAAACCUGUGGACAAGAAGACGUUUUUCAGUGUUUGAUCAAGAAAAGGUGUUAGGAUGAUAUUGAUGGGCUAGCUGGAGAAGAAAGAGAACUUGCCAUUCGAGUUGAAAGGCUUGAUACCACCUCUCGAGCCUAUGGAAUGGAAAUCCAUGCUGAAAAAACCAAAAUGAUGACCAAGAACAACAAUGGCAUCUGCUUAGACAUCAAAUUCAAUGGACAGGCACUGGACACGGUGUCCAGCUUCAAGUACCUCGAAGCAAUCGUGUCCCAUGAAGGAUCCAAACGGGAAGUCCUUGCCAGAAGUGCUGAAACAACUGCUGCCCUAACUGAAGCCCAUAUGGAAAGACACAAGCAUCAAAGGUGAGAUUACAGGGCUCACUUGUAAUGUCCAUCUUCCUUUACGCCUGUCAAACAUGGAGCCUCACAGCAGAGCUGCAGAAAAGAAUUCCGAGCAUGGAGAUGAGAUGCUACACAAGAUUCAUGGGUAGCUCCUACAGUGUUGUUGUUAAUGCAGAGUGGACAACGAAAUAUUUUUUUACUGAAGUCCGAUCAAAGGCUGUGUGUCUGAUAUGCCAAGAAACUGUCGCGGUUUACAAAGAGUACAAUAUCAGCCGCCACUUUGCUACCAAGCAUGCUAACUACGCCAGCAAGCAGUCAACGCAAGAGCGAACAGCCACGGCCCAGAGGUUGGCGGCUAAUUUACAGGCUCAGCAACAAUACACCCAACAUGUCACAAACCAAGAAGUCCGGCAAAAAUUCAGCCAAGUCAUCGGCCCACAUGAUGACCUGCUCACUACGCUCAUAAAGCGGAAACUGAGGUGGUACGGACACAUCACCAGAUCCUCAGGCCUUGCAAAAAGCAUCCUGCAAGGCACCGUACAAGGUGGCAGGAGACCAGGGAGACCAAAGAAAAGAUGGGAAGAUAACAUCGGAGAAUGGACUCCCCUGAAACUCACUGAGGCAAUGAGAGCUGCUGAGGACAGAGAGGGAGGGAGAGAGCUGGUCAACCCCUCCGGAGUUAUGGGAUAGAUCAGAUCAGAUACUUACGGCGUGUAUAUAAAACCUGAUUGGAGGCAUUUGGAUGUUUUUUUUAGAGCGCUUUAAAUGUGGAAUAGACAUUACUUUCCUUGUUAGCUGACUCUUGCUAGCAUUUAUUUACGAUUUAGAAUGUAUACAAAUGUGUUCUCGUCUUACAUAAGGAUUGUGAAUGAUAGGCAAAAUCCCAAACAAAGUGCAAUUACCCUUUCAGCGCAAAAAUGUUGACUAAAGUGGUGAAGUUGUGUUUUCAUUUGCACUUUAAUUUUGUUGACAGUUUAUUUAAGAAAAGUAUAUACAAAACCCAAAAGCAGUGAAGUUGUCACUUUGUGUAAAUGGUAAAUAAAAAGAAAAU
Entelurus aequoreus (snake pipefish) is the source of this 1614-nucleotide long non-coding RNA. RefSeq lists it as uncharacterized. The transcript has 3 exons. The record is from RefSeq and is a predicted model, not a curated record. NCBI's taxonomy places the organism in Eukaryota, Metazoa, Chordata, Actinopteri, Syngnathiformes, Syngnathidae.